UGUGGGACCCGCCGCACCCGCCCGGGCUCUGCGGUCCUUAGCUCGUUUCAACAGUUCAGCACGGCCUCGUUCUGGCUCAGCACAGCCAUGCACGGAGGUGGCAAACGCCUUUAAUCCCAGCACUAGGGAGGCAGAGAUCUCGCUCUGCCCGGGAUCCGGAGCCAUGCCCAAGAAGCAGGAUGAGGGAGAGCUGGCAGGGUGUCCUGAGCGGAAGUGACUAAGUGCUGAACAAGGGUCCGGAGGUUGUGAGGUCAACGCCAGGACAGCCCACCGAGAAGACCAGGCAUAAGGCUGCCUCCCUGCCUGGAAGGAAGAAGGAUGUCCGGGGUCCAGGGAUGACACUGCCUUGGACCGAGGGAGAGAAGUGAGAUAUCUAAAUUAAGGAGGAAAGUAUAAAAAAAUACCUUGCCUGACAUGGGCACCCUGCCACCAUUUGGAGAACCGUGAGAAUCCAGCUUGUUCCCAAAACACUGCCACAAGGAGGUCACUGAAAAAAAGAAUAAGCUGGAGCUGAACGGGAAACCUCCCUGUUGACUAGCUGUCAGAAUGCUAGAAGAGGCUAUGCAGCCCGCAGCCUUUUGGGAGAGAGAAGUCACCAAUGGUGUUAACCAGCAGUGGACCCUGCAAGCCUUUCGGCUGCCCAGCCAGGCCAAAUGUGCCAAAUGGUGCAAUAGUGGCACGUCUGUUAUGGGGGAAACCAGCUGCUCUCCAUGGGAGGGAAUACAUGCCUGGUACUGAAAACCUAGUCAAAAGCCUGUGGCUGGGGAGGACAUGAGCUCUAGGGGACUGCUGCCUGCUGUGUCUGGCUAAAUGCAUAUAUUAUGCUAACCAAACUGCCCUCUAAGCAUUUUUCUUAAUAUUCAUACCCAAUACUUGUUGUUGUUUGUUUGUUUUCAAGGCAGGAUCU
Jaculus jaculus (lesser Egyptian jerboa) is the source of this 907-nucleotide long non-coding RNA. RefSeq lists it as uncharacterized. NCBI's taxonomy places the organism in Eukaryota, Metazoa, Chordata, Mammalia, Rodentia, Dipodidae. The transcript has 4 exons. The record is from RefSeq and is a predicted model, not a curated record.